CCUACGGGAGGCAGCAGUGAGGAAUAUUGGACAAUGGGCGCAAGCCUGAUCCAGCCAUGCCGCGUGCAGGAUGACGGUCCUAUGGAUUGUAAACUGCUUUUGCACAGGAAGAAACAACUCUACGUGUAGAGUCUUGACGGUACUGUAAGAAUAAGGAUCGGCUAACUCCGUGCCAGCAGCCGCGGUAAUACGGAGGAUCCAAGCGUUAUCCGGAAUCAUUGGGUUUAAAGGGUCCGUAGGCGGCUUUAUAAGUCAGUGGUGAAAUCUCCCCGCUCAACGGGGAAACGGCCAUUGAUACUGUAAGGCUUGAAUUAUUAGGAAGUAACUAGAAUAUGUAGUGUAGCGGUGAAAUGCUUAGAGAUUACAUGGAAUACCAAUUGCGAAGGCAGGUUACUACUAAUGGAUUGACGCUGAUGGACGAAAGCGUGGGUAGCGAACAG
Molecule: ribosomal RNA, 440 nt
Filed under: Flavobacterium soyangense
Lineage: Bacteria; Pseudomonadati; Bacteroidota; Flavobacteriia; Flavobacteriales; Flavobacteriaceae
Description: bacterial SSU rRNA
Rfam family: Bacterial small subunit ribosomal RNA
Source: RNAcentral